RNAcentral lists this ribosomal RNA (744 nucleotides) under uncultured bacterium. Its description in RNAcentral is "bacterial SSU rRNA". It matches the Rfam family "Bacterial small subunit ribosomal RNA", at positions 8 to 796 of the family's 1533-position model. The record is from RNAcentral.
AGAGUUUGAUCAUGGCUCAGAACGAACGCUGGCGGCAGGCCUCAAACAUGCAAGUCUAGGGGGUGUAGCAAUACAUCACCGGCGGACGGGUGCGUAACGCGUGGGAAUAUACCUAUUGGUUCGGAACAACUGCGGGAAACUGCAGCUAAUACCGAAUGUGCCCGAAAGGGGAAAGAUUUAUCGCCAAUGGAUUAGCCCGCGUAGGAUUAGCUAGUUGGUGGGGUAAUGGCCCACCAAGGCUCCGAUCCUUAGCUGUUCUGAGAGGAAGAUCAGCCACACUGGGACUGAGACACGGCCCAGACUCCUACGGGAGGCAGCAGUUGGGAAUCUUGGACAAUGGGGGAAACCCUGAUCCAGCCAUGCCGCGUGAGUGAUGAAGGCCUUCGGGUUGUAAAACUCUUUCGACGGGGACGAUAAUGACGGUACCCGUAGAAGAAGCUCCGGCUAACUUCGUGCCAGCAGCCGCGGUAAUACGAAGGGGGCUAGCGUUGUUCGGAAUUACUGGGCGUAAAGCGCGCGCAGGCGGUUUUCCAAGUCAGUGGUGAAAGCCCGGAGCUCAACUCCGGAACUGCCAUUGAAACUGUUAAACUUGAGGACGAGAGAGGUGAGUGGAAUUCCCAGUGUAGAGGUGAAAUUCGUAGAUAUUGGGAAGAACACCAGUGGCGAAGGCGGCUCACUGGCUCGUAUCUGACGCUCAGGCGCGAUAGCGUGGGGAUCAAACAGGAUUAGAUACCCUAGUAGUCC